GACGAACGCUGGCGGCGUGCUUAACACAUGCAAGUCGAACGGAAAGGCCUCUUUCGGGGGGUACUCGGGUGGCGAACGGGUGAGUAACACGAGAGUAACCGGACCUUGACUUUGGGAUAACUUCAGGAAACUGGGGCUAAUACCGGAUAGGAGCUCCUGCUGCAUUGUGGGGGUUGGAAAGUUGCGGCGGAUGGGGAUGGACCUGCGGCUUAGCAGCUUGUUGGUGUGGUAGUGGCUUACCAAGGCUUUGACGGGUAGCCGGCCCGAGAGGGUGAACGGCCACACUGGGCAUGAGACACGGCCCAGACUCCUACGGGAGGCAGCAGUGGGGAAUAUUGCACUAUGGGUGCCAGCCUGAUUCAGCAACGCCGGUUGCGUGAAGACGACCCUUGGGUUGUAAACCGAUUUCGCUCAUGACGAAGCUUUGUGUGACGGUAGUGGGUAAAGAAGCACCGGCUAACUACGUG
Molecule: ribosomal RNA, 467 nt
Filed under: uncultured bacterium
Lineage: Bacteria
Description: partial 16S ribosomal RNA
Rfam family: Bacterial small subunit ribosomal RNA
Source: RNAcentral